CCGGUAAACGGCGGCCGUAACUAUAACGGUCCUAAGGUAGCGAAAUUCCUUGUCGGGUAAGUUCCGACCUGCACGAAUGGCGUAAUGAUGGCCAGGCUGUCUCCACCCGAGACUCAGUGAAAUUGAACUCGCUGUGAAGAUGCAGUGUACCCGCGGCAAGACGGAAAGACCCCGUGAACCUUUACUAUAGCUUGACACUGAACAUUGAGCCUUGAUGUGUAGGAUAGGUGGGAGGCUUUGAAGUGUGGACGCCAGUCUGCAUGGAGCCGACCUUGAAAUACCACCCUUUAAUGUUUGAUGUUCUAACGUUGACCCGUAAUCCGGGUUGCGGACAGUGUCUGGUGGGUAGUUUGACUGGGGCGGUCUCCUCCUAAAGAGUAACGGAGGAGCACGAAGGUUGGCUAAUCCUGGUCGGACAUCAGGAGGUUAGUGCAAUGGCAUAAGCCAGCUUGACUGCGAGCGUGACGGCGCGAGCAGGUGCGAAAGCAGGUCAUAGUGAUCCGGUGGUUCUGAAUGGAAGGGCCAUCGCUCAACGGAUAAAAGGUACUCCGGGGAUAACAGGCUGAUACCGCCCAAGAGUUCAUAUCGACGGCGGUGUUUGGCACCUCGAUGUCGGCUCAUCACAUCCUGGGGCUGAAGUAGGUCCCAAGGGUAUGGCUGUUCGCCAUUUAAAGUGGUACGCGAGCUGGGUUUAGAACGUCGUGAGACAGUUCGGUCCCUAUCUGCCGUGGGCGCUGGAGAACUGAGGGGGGCUGCUCCUAGUACGAGAGGACCGGAGUGGACGCAUCACUGGUGUUCGGGUUGUCAUGCCAAUGGCACUGCCCGGUAGCUAAAUGCGG
Molecule: ribosomal RNA, 839 nt
Filed under: Escherichia coli
Lineage: Bacteria; Pseudomonadati; Pseudomonadota; Gammaproteobacteria; Enterobacterales; Enterobacteriaceae
Description: partial 23S ribosomal RNA
Rfam family: Bacterial large subunit ribosomal RNA
Source: RNAcentral